UUACGGUCAAAUCACGCUGAAACACUAGUUCUCAUUUGAUCAUUGUAGUUAAGCAUUGUUGAACCCGAUCAGUACUGAGGUGAGGGACAGCUUGGGAACACCUGGUAU
Non-coding RNA from Acanthosepion pharaonis, 108 nucleotides. The record is from the annotation of a GenBank genome assembly. Lineage: Eukaryota; Metazoa; Mollusca; Cephalopoda; Sepiida; Sepiidae.